This 813-nucleotide long non-coding RNA is filed under the name Elaeis guineensis (African oil palm). Its description in RNAcentral is "long non-coding RNA (EGUI_LNC043712)". The record is from RNAcentral. Lineage: Eukaryota; Viridiplantae; Streptophyta; Magnoliopsida; Arecales; Arecaceae.
GGUGUCUAGAGAGAGAAACGAGAAGAAGAAGAGGGUCUUCUUCUAGGGUUGUUUGUUUUCAUAUCUUUCCUCCCUCCAUCUUGAGUUUUCUGAGAGCGUCUCAGAUCUGAAACUCCUCCUUUUACUUUUCAUCUUUGGAAGAGUCCAAAUCAAGAAGAAGGAGGCACCUGAUCAACUAUCAAAAAAGGAUCAGCAUAGUACUAGCAUACUGUGCUGAUUUCCUGAAGCAGGACUUCUGAUCGAGAUUCGUGGGCUUGUGUGGAUGACUCUUAGAGGCCGGACGCAUGUGCGGCUUGCAACAUCAUCCUCAAGUCCGGAUCAACGAGGUUAGAACAUCUAACUUGCAAGGUAAUAAAUCUGAUCUAUUGUUUAAUGCAUACAUUUGAUGUAGUAUAGAAACAUGUUGAUAUGAUCAACAUGUAGUUCAUGCUAUAUUUAUAUAUUUUAAUUUUUGAUUUAAUGCUAUGUAAUAAUCAUGUAAUAGGAUCUUAGAUCUAGAGAUUCUCUGAUUUUAAAAAAUAAUUUUGAUUUAUUUUAGUCUUCCGCUGUAUGAUCUUGAAAAAGUUUCAAGAUCUAAUCCUGAAACCCUAGAUCUGGUUCCUACAGGCAAUUGAUCAUGGGACAUCCAAGAGAGAGGUCUCCUUUUAUAGACUAGGAAUUAGGACUUUCUAAGAAAGGAUGCCAUGAAUCAACACCCAAAAUCCUUUUUGGCAUCCCCAAAAAUUUCAAAAAAAUUAUUAGGAUGUGGAGAAGAAAUCUAAAGUCUGACAUGCCAAAGUAUUUUUCAAAAAAAAUAAGAAAAAAAAUAAUAUG